This 82-nucleotide microRNA precursor is filed under the name Branchiostoma belcheri (Belcher's lancelet). RNAcentral's name for it is "microRNA bbe-mir-129a precursor". Its record names the gene bbe-mir-129a. Lineage: Eukaryota; Metazoa; Chordata; Leptocardii; Amphioxiformes; Branchiostomatidae. The record is from miRBase by way of RNAcentral.
CACCACUCGGCGUGCCCUGUCCUUUUUGUGGUUUGGGGCUUUUGAGAUCUGGACAGAAAAGCCCUUACCUCAAAAGGGAUAG